This is a transfer RNA of Chrysochromulina sp., 80 nucleotides long. It matches the Rfam family "tRNA". From Rfam's summary of the family: Transfer RNA (tRNA) molecules are approximately 80 nucleotides in length. Their secondary structure includes four short double-helical elements and three loops (D, anti-codon, and T loops). The record is from Rfam. Lineage: Eukaryota; Haptophyta; Prymnesiales; Chrysochromulinaceae.
UCGAUGCUGGUGGAAUGGUAUACACGAUUGAUUUAAAAUCAAUUGCCUACGGCUUAAACGUUCGAGUCGUUUGCGUCGAA